Molecule: long non-coding RNA, 2878 nt
Organism: Macaca fascicularis (crab-eating macaque)
Lineage: Eukaryota; Metazoa; Chordata; Mammalia; Primates; Cercopithecidae
Source: Ensembl
UUUUUUUUUUUUAAAUAGAGACAUGGUUUUGCCAUAUUGCCCAGGUUGGUCUUGAACUCCUGGGCUCAAGCGAUCCUCCUACCUCGGCCUCCUUAAGUGUGGGGAUUACAAGUGUCAGCCACUGAACCUGGUCUUUGUGUGUUUUUUUUAGACAGGGUCUCACUCUGUCACCCAGGCUGGAGUAUGGUGGUGCAAGUGGUGCAGCCGUAGCUCGCUGCAGCCUAAUUGUUUUGUAUUUGUCAUAGAGGCAGAGUCUUGCUGUGUUGCCCAGGCUGGUCUCGAACUCCUGGGCUCAAGCCAUCCACCGACCUUGGCCUCCUACAGUGCUGGGAUCACAGGCGUGAGUCACCGCGUCCGGCCAAUGCCGACGUUUUUGAGGAGCAAUUGAGGGAUUUGGCUUGUUCCUUUGACUCUGAGACCGGAGGACAGACCAAAAGCUGGGAGGAGAUUCAGCAGUGUGGCCCUCCUCGGGGUGUGAGAUGCCCCUCCUCAGAUUUGGAGAUGCCGGAAAACAAAGCCCAGGAAACACCGGUGUGGGGCCCAGGGCUCCAGGUUCUGUGUCCCAGUGAGCCUGUUAAUUCUCAGUCUUAAAAUGUCUUAUAAAUUAAAGCAGGGAAAAGUACAUUUCCACCAUCUGUGACAAAGCACCUUCUUGAAAUAAGCCACCAGUUAAAGAGUAAAAUUGGGAUUCCUGGAAGAGACACCUCAGUGUUAGACGCCAUCAGGGCAGGGGCUUUGAACAAAACUUCCGGAACGUAUGUGCGUGGCUGUGAUGCUGCAGGACCGUCGGAAGACAAAGAACUUCUCUAUCUGGUUCCCACCUAAUAGCCUUUACAAUAAAGAGGAAAUCAACCUUCUCCUUGCCUGGCUACCAGAGUUUAAACUUACUCAGCUAACGUGAUCAAUAAAACCAAAUGUCUUUCUGAAUAUCAGCUGGAGAAUUUUCAGCACUCAGGAUUGAAUGGAAAAACGCCUCUCCUUUUGUUCAAAUAGCCGAUAUUACUGCAAUGUUGACAGAGGGAAAAAACCCAUGUCUAGUUUUCAAUAUAGAUAAUCCCUAAAUAAAUAUAUUUUUGUCCAUUUGUCAAUCACUGAAAUACCACAGAUCCGCGGGGAAGGUCUUGGAAAAAGGCUGCCGUUCUUUAGCCGGGAGAUGCAACCCGUUCUCUCAGUCCAGGCAGCGGCCUCCAGGCCACAGUGGAAGGAGGGACAGGUCUCUGGUGUGCUGACGACACCUCAGGCUGUCCCUGCAGGCGUGCCGGCGUCAGGCAGGGAACAGGACCGCCCUUGCCUGUUUUGGACGCUUUGGUUUUCCUCUGUGAUGUGACCUGUGAGGAGUUACAUGAAGCCUGCGGCAAAGUCCUCAGCUACCACCCGGCCUGGCCUCCGCAGCUCUGCAGGGCCGGCUCUCAGGCCUGCUGUGGGAUCGUCUGGGAGCUUUGAGGAUCUCCAGAGACCUGGCUGCCCCAGGGAUUUUGGUGUGACUGGGGAGUCAGUGCGGCCAUCAGCUUUCGCGGUGCCGCCCACGUGAUUCUCAUGGGAGCCGGGGUUGAGGACGUCGGCAGCGAAGCGGCACAUUUGGCACCAACACAGUCAGGUACCAGUUAGGUCAUGAUGCUGGUCCGCAGGGCCUCCCUUGACCCCUCUCUUGCUGCUCUGAGCGACUGUCUUCUCAGUGGUCCUCAAAGUGGGGUGCCUGGGCCAGCCAUGGAGCAUCACCUGAGAACUUGAUAGAAAUGCAGGUUCCUGGCUGCACCCCGGGGUUGCCGGCUCGUGAACUCUGGGGUGGGGCCUGGCGCUCCAAGGAGCCUCCAGGUGGCUCUGAGGCUGCUCAGUUCGAGGCCCACCAUCUCCGGGCUGGUUCUAGGGUCACAGUCGCCGUAUCUACCUCUCAAGGCAUUGGAAGAGCACAGGAGACAGACGAAUCUCUGGCCGGUCUGGGGGUGACAUUUCCCUUCCUCCACACCCCACCCCCAAACCCUGUCUCACACUUUCUUCCUCCCACCUUUUGCCAAGACAGGUAAUAAGUCCCAGACGUCUCUGCAUACAGGCCCCACCCCAUUUCCAGGCCACUCAGACCUAUUCUGGGGCCUUUCUAGGUGAAAGAGAAGCCAACAGCCUUUUGACUCAACAGCAGGCCUGCUAGGAAUUCACCCAGCAUCUGCAUUCUCGGUGGAAUGCCUGAUGUACGCAUAGGGCCGGUCUUGAAGGGGCUGUUUGUAAUUGCAAAGCAGACAAAGCGCGGCAAAACAGAAACGGGAAAUCACCUAAGUGCGUCUUAACAGGGAACUGGUUACAUAAAUGAGGGUGCAUUCUUGACACCCUGGCCUGCCUGACCAUGGGUCCCACAGCUCCUGUGCCUCUGCGGCAGGCCUGGCUCGCUGGGACGCCCUCAGGGCCAGGAGGCCACAGCUGCCCCAUCUGCACCUUCUGCCGCAUGGACCCUCUGCCCCUCACCGGCUCCUGCUGGCCUCGACCAUCACAUCACGUAGGACGCUUGUGACUGCUCUAAAAACACCGGGCUCUCACGCUGUCCCCUCCAAGGUCCCCUCCUUGUGUCCAGCAUCAUUAUGGCUGCCUCCUGCUGGGCUGCCCCUGCCCUGGCCCUCAGGUGCCUGUGGUUUAAAUCUCCUGGCACUGCUGAGCACCAGUCUGGUGUGCAGAUGGAGGUGCCUGAAGCGUAGGAGGAAGCUGAUGGACAGUUUGUCCCUUCACCAGCAGCUGUGUUGUGUUCAAUGGUGGAGACAACCCAUCUGGGCUCUCAGCGACCCCACCCCACAGGCUCUUCCUCAGCAUGACCGGGACACCCACAGGGUGGGCCUGCACCUGCCCUGAGCCUCUGCAGCUUGGGACGUCUCAGCCCGAGGCAGUGGGAUGA